AGUUAAUGUUUUAUGUAGUAGUGAUUAAAGCAUAAGUCUUGCAAAGGAAAGAUACAAUUAUAUACCUGAUCUUUGAAGAUUUCUCUAGAACCACAACAUGGCUUAACUCUCCCUAACUAUCAUCUAGAUCUAGUCUACUUGUACAUCUUGAAAGCUUCGUAGAGAUUUCACUCUUGUGGUGUUUUGUUCUGAAUGAGAGAUAUGAAGUAAGGUUUCCUAGAUGCCUCAAUGAGGGGGUAGGGGCUGCUAUAUAUGGGGGAGAUGGAGUAGGGGCAAGGAAUUGCCAUGUCAUGGAUCAACAUCAUCUCCCUUGAUCACCAUUGGAUGAACCGACUUUACACCACCUUAAAAUCAAGGGUCUGGAUCUU
This 368-nucleotide long non-coding RNA is filed under the name Sorghum bicolor (sorghum). RNAcentral describes it as "long non-coding RNA (SBIC_LNC009444)". The record is from RNAcentral. Lineage: Eukaryota; Viridiplantae; Streptophyta; Magnoliopsida; Poales; Poaceae.